RNAcentral lists this ribosomal RNA (199 nucleotides) under uncultured bacterium. Its description in RNAcentral is "partial 16S ribosomal RNA". It matches the Rfam family "Bacterial small subunit ribosomal RNA", at positions 328 to 539 of the family's 1533-position model. The record is from RNAcentral.
ACGCUCGACACCUACGGGGGGCAGCAGUCGGGAAUAUUGCGCAAUGGAGGGAACUCUGACGCAGUGACGCCGCGUAUAGGAAGAAGGUUUUCGGAUUGUAAACUAUUGUCGUUAGGGAAGAGAAAGGACAGUACCUAAGGAGGAAGCUCCGGCUAACUACGUGCUAGCAGCCGCGGUAAUCUGAGCGGGCUGGCAAGGC